GCCUUCGGGCUAGUGGCGGACGGGUGAGUAACACGUGGGAACGUACCUUUAGGUUCGGAACAACACAGGGAAACUUGUGCUAAUACCGAAUGUGCCCUUCGGGGGAAAGAUUUAUCGCCUUUAGAGCGGCCCGCGUUAGAUUAGCUAGUUGAGAGGUUUUUUCUCACCAAGGCUGCAACUAUAGCUGGUCGAGAGGAUGAUCAGCCUCACUGGAUNGAUCANUUCCCAGGGACCUACAGGAGGCAGCAGUCGGACUGACGUAAAACUCGAGCCUC
Molecule: unclassified non-coding RNA, 275 nt
Filed under: uncultured bacterium
Lineage: Bacteria
Description: partial contains 16S ribosomal RNA and 16S-23S ribosomal RNA intergenic spacer region
Rfam family: Bacterial small subunit ribosomal RNA
Source: RNAcentral